UGAGGGAACAGCAAGAAGACAGCCAUCUGCAAAGAAGAGGGCUGUCACCAGACACUAGCUCUGCUGGCAUCUUGGACUUCCCAGCCUCCAGAAUGAUGGCCUGGGAAGCCCUCUGCACGCCUUUCUCAACUAAGGAAUUUGUGGAAGUAGAAUUUCUUCUGUUGACAGAAUUCUGCUGAGAACUGAAUUUUCUGCUGUUUUCAUUACUCUUUUCUAAAUGUUUCACAGUUCUGUUUUUUUUACAGCCAGAUUUCCAUUUGAUACUGGUUGUGGUUACACUAAAAGUAACAUCUAUGGCCAAAUGGCUGGAAAUUUUACAUUUUUGACACCGAGAUUUUUCCUGUACUUCACGGAGGGCAAGGGUUAUACCCUAUUUUUUCCCAGUCUCCCACAGUGCCCAACCCAGACGACCGUACAUAAUAAGCGCUUUAUUCUCAGCACUGCUGUAUGCCUCAUUGGAACAGGAUGCCCAAGGUGAUGGCUGCAGAAAUGGAUGGAUUGGAGCGUGACUUGCCAAGACAGGGCUGCUGUAACAAACUACUACAAACUUUGCCGCUUAAAAACAGAAAUGGCUUCCCUCACAGUUUCUGGAAGUCCAAGGUCCGGCAGGAUUGUGCUCCCCCUAGGAACCCUAAGGGAAGAUGCGUUCCUGGCCACCUCCAGCUCUGGUGGCUGCCUGGCUGCUUUCCUGUGCCUGAUAUCACAUCACCCCAUUAUCUGCCUCCGUUUUCACAUCGCUUUCUCCUCUUGUGUCUCUCCAAUCUCCUUCUGCCUCCCUCUUCUAAGAACACUUAUCAUCGGAUUUAUGACCCACUCAGAUAAUACAGGAUUAAUUCUUCCUCUCAAAACCCUUAAUUGCAUCCAUUGCCAAAUAAGGUAACAUUUACUCUUUUACCGAUAAGGUAAUACUCACAGGUUCUGAGAAUUAGGGCAUGGACAUAUCUUUUUGGGGCCCACCAUUCAGCGCACUACAUUUACACGAGAAAAUGAUAAUAUUCAAAAUAGCGUGAAAGUACCAAAACGAAGGUAGGCACUGUAGGAGACGAAAAUAGAGAUGAGGUAUGAGGGAGAUUCAGGGACCAGUCCGCAUGUUAUAAAUUUUCAAUCUCGCAAGCAUUCACAUUUUUUAAAUAUUGAAUUUUUGCCUUUGUUUUCUGCAAUCACCAAAGAUUUCAGGUUUUAUUAAAUAUCCAAAGUUGGUGGUGGCAUGGGAAAAGAACACUAUUUUACUGCUGGUAGAAGUACACAUGGAACUUUAAUAAAGCCAUCCUCAAAGA
Long non-coding RNA from Homo sapiens (human), 1277 nucleotides. Ensembl annotates it as long intergenic non-protein coding RNA 1418. Lineage: Eukaryota; Metazoa; Chordata; Mammalia; Primates; Hominidae. The record is from Ensembl.